This is a long non-coding RNA of Equus quagga, 1418 nucleotides long. RefSeq lists it as uncharacterized. The record is from RefSeq and is a predicted model, not a curated record. The transcript is spliced from 3 exons. Lineage: Eukaryota; Metazoa; Chordata; Mammalia; Perissodactyla; Equidae.
CGACAACGAGACGAGUCAGGAGAGGAGGAGCGAGGACUGAGGGAGCUUGCAGGAGCAUUCUAAUCCACAGAUAAAAUGAGGAAGAGGCGCCCUGAGCUCCUGACGUUCUUCACAUCCCACUUGGCCCCCAGACUCCUCCACGGGGCCCCUUCCGUGGAAGACCUUCCAGCGCCAGUGCUUGCCAACUAUCUAUAAAGCUCUGUGGGAUGAAGACGUGGUUCGAGACAACAGUAGCCCCAGAAACCAGGAUUUACUAGGAGAAUUCUAAGUAAGACAUACUUUCAGAGGAAGAACUGAAGAGCCACGGUGGGAACUGAGACAUCUCCAAGGAUCUUGGGAUUUAGGGACAACUCAGGCCACCAGGUGACUCGACUCCAGUCACCUUCCGACUCUGGGUAUCGCGGCUCAACAUUCAAAUUUCUAGAGAGUCUGAUUGGUCUAGCUUCCGUCUGGUGUCCACCACCACGAUUGGGGUGAUUGGGGCCUCUGAGAGCCUUCUAGAACCACAUGGAGGGGGAGGGGCAGGAAAACAUUAUGUCCGCUAAGGUAGCGGCUAUGUCUUGUACACCUCACACUGCCUGAUGCAGCAGGCGCUCAAGUUUUGUAGAGAAAAAGAAUGUACGAAUGCAUGAACCUGCCUCCAAGAGGUCACAUCAUCUGCCCCAUCCAUGCCAGGCUUGUCCUAGGAUUCUAUUCUUCCAGAGACUGUGCACGGCCUUUCUCACGACCUGUCCCCCUGAGCAGGGGUAGGGUGUUGGACCCACUGGGUUAGCAGGGUCACGGGGCCUGGAGGGCAGGUCAGACGCAGAUCCACCAACCACCAGGAUAUGAAGACCAAGUCUUAGAUGCAAGAUCAACCCAGAGGAGGAGUACGAAUGUGUAGUUCGCCAGAUUCUGCGCUCUGAGAUGCUCUCAGUAGUGGGUUUCCUGAGCACGAGGAGAUCUAUGAUCGCUGACUUUGCCUGCAACCUUCCAGCAAGAUGGCUCAUGCAAGCUUGGAGGGCAUGGGACCUCAGAAGUCACCUAGUGCCACCCCUUACUUUUUCAGAGAGGGGAACUGAGAUCUGGGGAGGUGUGGUGUUUUGCUCAAGAUCAUAGCGUAUUCACAACAGGUGUCUUCGACCACAUGCUGUUCAGCGCUCUUUCUACUGUGCACUAGUGCCCUCUGUGCUGGCGGUGGGAUGCUGGGGACCCUGACCUUGAGCUUUUCCUUAGUGAUCUAGAUGUUAACUGACUUAUUCCCUCUGGGGGCCACUUUAUUCCACUCCUGUUUGGGGGUCAGUUGGCUGCAGACCCAGUCUAGGAUGGUUUUGGCUGGGACAACUGGGCUCUCCUCCACAAUGUCCCUUGUGAUCCAGCAGACCAUCCUGGGUUUGUCCUCAUGGUGGAGGAAGGGGUUAAGAGGGACAGCAGAAGCA